Molecule: ribosomal RNA, 492 nt
Filed under: uncultured bacterium
Lineage: Bacteria
Description: partial 16S ribosomal RNA
Rfam family: Bacterial small subunit ribosomal RNA
Source: RNAcentral
AGUGAACGCUGGCGGUAGGCCUAACACAUGCAAGUCGAACGGCAGCACAGUAAGAGCUUGCUCUUACGGGUGGCGAGUGGCGGACGGGUGAGGAAUACAUCGGAAUCUACUUUUUCGUGGGGGAUAACGUAGGGAAACUUACGCUAAUACCGCAUACGACAUACGGGUGAAAGCAGGGGAUCUUCGGACCUUGCGCGAUUGAAUGAGCCGAUGUCGGAUUAGCUAGUUGGCGGGGUAAAGGCACACCAAGGCGACGAACCGUAGCUGGUCUGAGAGGAUGAUCAACCAUGCUGGAACUGAGACACGGUCCAGACUCCUACGGGAGGCAGCAGUGGGGAAUAUUGGACGAUGGGCGCAAGCCUGAUCCAGCCAUACCGCGUGUGUGAAGAAGGCCUUCGGGUUUUAAAGCCCUUUUGUUGGGAAAGAAAAGCAGCAUGUUAAUACCCCGCUGUUCUGACGGUACCCAAAGAAUAAGCACCGGCUAACUUCGUG